Molecule: long non-coding RNA, 344 nt
Organism: Alligator sinensis (Chinese alligator)
Lineage: Eukaryota; Metazoa; Chordata; Crocodylia; Alligatoridae
Exons: 3
Source: RefSeq, a predicted model, not a curated record
GCCAAAGCUAAGCGGAAAGGCGGCCGCUUCGGAGGUGCGCGGCCGGGCGCGGCCACCGAGAAUAUUUUAUCUGGAUGCUGACAUCUGGAAAGUACCUGCCGGCCUCUCACCUCCCUGCCUUCCUUGAGGCCACUGAAGCUUGGUAGACAAAGCUGGGAAAACUGAGAGACUUGGUUGACAUCACCAUGGACACCUGGGACAGCUGGAAAUAAUACAGGAUAGGUCAUACAAAAUCAAAUAAGAGAUGGGCAUCUUACUAGAUCUGAAACAAGAGUUUAUUAUUUUGCCUACUGGAGUACCACUAUUGACCAUCUCAAACAUUCAGAAGAUCCGGGAUGUCAGAU